This 888-nucleotide ribosomal RNA is filed under the name uncultured bacterium. RNAcentral describes it as "bacterial SSU rRNA". It matches the Rfam family "Bacterial small subunit ribosomal RNA", at positions 8 to 916 of the family's 1533-position model. The record is from RNAcentral.
AGAGUUUGAUCAUGGCUCAGGACGAACGCUGGCGGCGUGCUUAACACAUGCAAGUCGAGCGAUGAAGUUUCCUUCGGGAAACGGAUUAGCGGCGGACGGGUGAGUAACACGUGGGUAACCUGCCUCAUAGAGGGGAAUAGCCUUCCGAAAGGAAGAUUAAUACCGCAUAAGAUUGUAAUGCCGCAUGGUAUAGCAAUUAAAGGAGCAAUUCGCUAUGAGAUGGACCCGCGUCGCAUUAGCUAGUUGGUGAGGUAACGGCUCACCAAGGCGACGAUGCGUAGCCGACCUGAGAGGGUGAUCGGCCACAUUGGGACUGAGACACGGCCCAGACCCCUACGGGAGGCAGCAGUGGGGAAUAUUGCACAAUGGGGGAAACCCUGAUGCAGCAACGCCGCGUGAGUGAUGACGGUCUUCGGAUUGUAAAGCUCUGUCUUUAGGGACGAUAAUGACGGUACCUAAGGAGGAAGCCACGGCUAACUACGUGCCAGCAGCCGCGGUAAUACGUAGGUGGCAAGCGUUGUCCGGAUUUACUGGGCGUAAAGGGAGCGUAGGUGGAUAUUUAAGUGGGAUGUGAAAUACCCGGGCUUAACCUGGGUGCUGCAUUCCAAACUGGAUAUCUAGAAUGCAGGAGAGGAAAGGAGAAUUCCUAGUGUAGCGGUGAAAUGCGUAGAGAUUAGGAAGAAUACCAGUGGCGAAGCGCCUUUCUGGACUGUAACUGACACUGAGGCUCGAAAGCGUGGGGAGCAAACAGGAUUAGAUACCCUGUAGUCCACGCCGUAACGAUGAAUACUAGUGUAGGGGUUGUCAUGACCUCUGUGCUGCCGCUAACGCAUUAAGUAUUCCGCCUGGGGAGUACGGUCGCAAGAUUAAACUCAAAUGAAUUGACGG